This 204-nucleotide ribosomal RNA is filed under the name uncultured bacterium. RNAcentral's name for it is "partial 16S ribosomal RNA". It matches the Rfam family "Bacterial small subunit ribosomal RNA", at positions 568 to 774 of the family's 1533-position model. The record is from RNAcentral.
UGCGUAGGCGGGUCUUUAAGUCAGGGGUGAAAUCCUGGAGCUCAACUCCAGAACUGCCUUUGAUACUGAAGAUCUUGAGUUCGGGAGAGGUGAGUGGAACUGCGAGUGUAGAGGUGAAAUUCGUAGAUAUUCGCAAGAACACCAGUGGCGAAGGCGGCUCACUGGCCCGAUACUGACGCUGAGGCAAGACUGGGGAGGCAAACA